AACGAACGCUGGCGGCAGGCCUAACACAUGCAAGUCGAGCGCGCCCUUCGGGGUGAGCGGCGGACGGGUGAGUAACGCGUGGGAACGUACCCUUUGCUACGGAAUAGCCUCGGGAAACUGGGAGUAAUACCGUAUGUGCCCUUCGGGGGAAAGAUUUAUCGGCAAAGGAUCGGCCCGCGUUGGAUUAGGUAGUUGGUGGGGUAAUGGCCUACCAAGCCGACGAUCCAUAGCUGGUUUGAGAGGAUGAUCAGCCACACUGGGACUGAGACACGGCCCAGACUCCUACGGGAGGCAGCAGUGGGGAAUCUUAGACAAUGGGCGCAAGCCUGAUCUAGCCAUGCCGCGUGAGCGAUGAAGGCCUUAGGGUUGUAAAGCUCUUUCAGUGGGGAAGAUAAUGACUGUACCCACAGAAGAAGCCCCGGCUAACUCCGUGCCAGCAGCCGCGGUAAAGUACAGUGU
This 459-nucleotide ribosomal RNA is filed under the name uncultured bacterium. RNAcentral's name for it is "bacterial SSU rRNA". It matches the Rfam family "Bacterial small subunit ribosomal RNA", at positions 29 to 533 of the family's 1533-position model. The record is from RNAcentral.